GCGUUGAGAAAGAUUCUGUGUUUGGUGAAAGACUUGGACCCUUUGUUGGUGGAGUUUCUGUUUGUGGAGUAGCUGUUGAAGCUGGUGUUGUGUCUGUGGUUGGUCCUGAUGUUGGAGGUUUUGUGGGUGUUGAAGCUGGUGUAGUGUCUGUGGUUGGUCCAGACGUCGGAGGUUUUGUGGGUGUUGUAUCUAGUGUAGUGUCUGUGGUUGGUGCGGAUGUCAGUGUUGAAGCUGUUGUAGCUUCUGUGGUUGGU
This is a long non-coding RNA of Poecilia latipinna (sailfin molly), 254 nucleotides long. RefSeq lists it as uncharacterized. The record is from RefSeq and is a predicted model, not a curated record. The transcript is spliced from 3 exons. NCBI's taxonomy places the organism in Eukaryota, Metazoa, Chordata, Actinopteri, Cyprinodontiformes, Poeciliidae.